AUAAACUUGAAUUACACCUUGAAAUUUCGGAUCGAAAUGAAAAGUUGAGGCCCACUCUAACUUGCCUGAUCAGAAGGCUAGAAUCAAGCAGCAUAACAGAAACUAAUUCCUUACCAAAACGUGGAAAUUGUUGAAUAAGAAUAGUUGGAUUCGGAAGCACUUCCAGGUAUACCAAAAAUGGGUUGAUUUCUCUCGCGUCAUUUCCUCGUAAUCCUGGAAAAAAUAGAAUGUUUCAUUAAUCUCGGUAAAAUAAAUGGCUUUUUCUGUUGAAUACAUUGACUCCUUUCCGACACAACCUCCUGAUGAGUUGAUGUGCAUUGAUUUUCCGAAGCUCGAGCGAUGUGCAGUCAGUCAUUCAUUCUUUCCCCGUGGAGGCGACCAGUGAAGGGCGGCUACGAGAAACCCCAGCCGCGGAGUCCCGAGCUUGCCCAGUGGAUGAGGUGAGACGAGGGAGGUAGGAAUAAGUCGCCUCCAUUAACUGCGAUGAGAGCUCCACGAGCUACAGCGGCAGAUGGGUUUUCCCGGCGAGGGCAGUCUCCAUCACUGCCCGAAGAAGACGCUUGGAACAGGAGAAGAGAAGGCAGUGAGAGGGACUUGACACCAACUAAGUACAUUCUCCACAUGAGGGAGAGAAGGCGAGCCCAGAAGAUAGGCUCGAGCUCUCUGCCAUAAUAAUGGCAUCGGUACGGCUUCGCCCCUUCCCCUCACCCAAUGCCAUACACUGCCAGUGCAACAGCGACGAACCUAUCAACCUGUCUC
RNAcentral lists this long non-coding RNA (759 nucleotides) under Spirodela polyrhiza (greater duckweed). RNAcentral's name for it is "long non-coding RNA (SPOL_LNC000617)". Lineage: Eukaryota; Viridiplantae; Streptophyta; Magnoliopsida; Alismatales; Araceae. The record is from RNAcentral.